This is a long non-coding RNA of Salvelinus fontinalis (brook trout), 1841 nucleotides long. RefSeq lists it as uncharacterized. The transcript has 2 exons. NCBI's taxonomy places the organism in Eukaryota, Metazoa, Chordata, Actinopteri, Salmoniformes, Salmonidae. The record is from RefSeq and is a predicted model, not a curated record.
GUUUACUUCCUGGUUGCACCAUGAGAAGACGAUGGCUGCAUCAAAACUCCCCAAAACAUCAAAAGUUUGAGUCAAGUUCUGGAUAUGUUGGAUCUAGGUGACCGCCUAGACAAGGCAUGCAACAUUGCAGUUCUCUCUCAAAAUGAGAAAGAGGCUGUCCUGAGGGAUUGUGAUAGCGAUGGGUCAGAUAUGGACUAUGAGGGGGAGACAGGCCAUUGGCCAGCCAGACUGGUUGAAUGUAUAUCCUGAACCUAUCACAAACAGAUCAUGACAGGAACAACGUUAUCAGUGAUGAAGACCUACCUCCUCACCACCAAGUAACAAUGUUGAAAUACUUUGACGCUUGUUUUUGUUUUUUUUGUCUUUUCUCUCAGUAUUCAUAGCGGUAUUAAGGGUUUUUGAUAUGUAAAAUAGUCACACUAGAAUGUGACGGGGCAUUCUAGUAGCAAUGCUGGGGACUGUCAGUGACAGAGUUUUAAAUGUGUUAAUAACUGGGCUGGGGACUGUCAGUGACAGAGUUUUAAAUGUGUUAAUAACUGGGCUGGGGACUGUCAGUGACAGAGAUUUAAAUGUGUUAAUACUGGGCUGGGGACUGUCAGUGAUAGAGUUUUAAAUGUGUUAAUAACUGGGCUGGGGACUGUCAGUGACAGAGUUUUAAAUGUGUUAAUAACUGGGCUGGGGACUGUCAGUGACAGAGAUUUAAAUGUGUUAAUAACUGGGCUGGGGACUGUCAGUGACAGAGUUUUAAAUGUGUUAAUAACUGGGCUGGGGACUGUCAGUGAUAGAGUUUUAAAUGUGUUAAUAACUGGGCUGGGGACUGUCAGUGACAGAGUUUUAAAUGUGUUAAUAACUGGGCUGGGGACUGUCAGUGACAGAGAUUUAAAUGUGUUAAUAACUGGGCUGGGGACUGUCAGUGACAGAGAUUUAAAUGUGUUAAUAACUGGGGUGGGGACUGUCAGUGAUAGAGUUUUAAAUGUGUUAAUAACUGGGCUGGGGACUGUCAGUGACAGAGUUUUAAAUGUGUUAAUAACUGGGCUGGGGACUGCUAGUGACACAGUUUUAAAUGUGUUUAUAACUGGGCUAGGGACUGCCAGUGACAGAGUUUUAAAUGUGUUAAUAACUGGUCUGGGGACUGCUAGUGACAGAGUUUUAAAUGUGUUAAUAACUGGUCUGGGGACUGCUAGUGACAGAGUUUUAAAUGUGUCAAUAACUGGGUUGGGAUAUAUAAGCAUUUUGAUGACUGCAUAGGAGAAAUAUGUUAAUACAGUAUACAUCACAUUAUCCCACCGGUCACAAUUGUGACCGACUAUAAAAACACAUUUUUUCAUGUACUUUUCAAUGAACAUUUCCAAAAAGAAUGAUUGAUUACUUCAAAGGGUUGCUAAUGACACAUGAUUUGGAUAUUUUCAUGUCUGGGAAAAAUGUAGGGAUUAAAUGGGUUAAGCAAAUCAGACGGCACUAUUAUUAUUAUUUUUUUACGGAUUGCAAGGGGGACACUCCAAUACUCAGACUGUAACGUCCUGACCAGAGUUCGUAUGUGUUUUGCUUGUUUAGUGUUGGUCAGGACGUGAGCUGGGUGGGAAUUCUAUGUUGUGUGUCUAGUUUGUCUGUUUCUAUGUUGGGUUAAAUGUGUUGCCUGAUAUGGUUCUCAAUUAGAGGCAGGUGUUUGACGUUUCCUCUGAUUGAGAACCAUAUUAAGGUAGGCUGUUCCCACUGUUUGUUUGUGGGUGAUUGUUUCCUGACUUUGUGUUUUGUCUGCACCAGCUAGGACUGUGACGGUUAGUUUGUUUUGUCAUUUUGUAUAGUGUCUUGUUUUGUGUUAAUUAAAUAAUGGAAAAUUA